AGCUCCAAUAGCGUAUAUUAAUGUUGUUGCAGUUAAAAAGCUCGUAGUUGGAUUCCUGGCCUGGGGUAGCCGGUCCGCCUUGCAAAAGGUGCGCACUGAGCGGCCUCGGCCAUCCUUGGGAAGAGCAGUCCUGGCAUUCAGUUGUCGGGGUUGGGAUUCCCGACGUUUACUGUGAAAAAAUCAGAGUGUUCAACGCAGGCUUACGCCUUGAAUACAUUAGCAUGGAAUAAUGAGAUAGGACCUUGGCGGUCUAUUUUGUUGGUUUGCACGCCGAGGUAAUGAUUAAAAGGGACGGUUGGGGUUCUUCGUAUUCAAUUGUCAGAGGUGAAAUUCUUGGAUUUAUGGAAGACGAACUGCUGCGAAAGCGUCGAACAAGGACGUUCUCAUUAAUCAAGAACGA
RNAcentral lists this ribosomal RNA (400 nucleotides) under phytoplankton environmental sample. RNAcentral describes it as "partial small subunit ribosomal RNA". It matches the Rfam family "Eukaryotic small subunit ribosomal RNA", at positions 587 to 986 of the family's 1831-position model. The record is from RNAcentral.